AACGAACGCUGGCGGCAUGCCUAACACAUGCAAGUCGAACGAAGUCUUCGGACUUAGUGGCGCACGGGUGCGUAACGCGUGGGAAUCUGCCCUUGGGUGCGGAAUAACUUCUCGAAAGGGAUGCUAAUACCGCAUAAUGUCGUAAGACCAAAGAUUUAUCGCCCAAGGAUGAGCCCGCGUAAGAUUAGCUAGUUGGUGGGGUAAAAAGCCUACCAAGGCGACGAUCUUUAGCUGGUCUGAGAGGAUGAUCAGCCACACUGGGACUGAGACACGGCCCAGACUCCUACGGAGGCAACAGUGGGGAAUAUU
RNAcentral lists this ribosomal RNA (309 nucleotides) under uncultured bacterium. Its description in RNAcentral is "bacterial SSU rRNA". It matches the Rfam family "Bacterial small subunit ribosomal RNA", at positions 29 to 365 of the family's 1533-position model. The record is from RNAcentral.